This 434-nucleotide ribosomal RNA is filed under the name uncultured bacterium. RNAcentral describes it as "partial 16S ribosomal RNA". It matches the Rfam family "Bacterial small subunit ribosomal RNA", at positions 29 to 507 of the family's 1533-position model. The record is from RNAcentral.
AGCGAACGCUGGCGGCAGGCCUAACACAUGCAAGUCGAACGAACCUUUCGGGGUUAGUGGCGGACGGGUGAGUAACACGUGGGAACGUGCCUUUAGGUUCGGAAUAACUCAGGGAAACUUGUGCUAAUACCGAAUGUGCUCUUCGGGGGAAAGAUUAAUCGCCUUUAGAGCGGCCCGCGUCUGAUUAGCUAGUUGGUUGAGGUAAUGGCUCACCAAGGCGACGAUCAGUAGCUGGUCUGAGAGGAUGAUCAGCCACAUUGGGACUGAGACACGGCCCAAACUCCUACGGGAGGCAGCAGUGGGGAAUCUUGCGCAAUGGGCGAAAGCCUGACGCAGCCAUGCCGCGUGAAUGAUGAAGGUCUUAGGAUUGUAAAAUUCUUUCACCGGGGACGAUAAUGACGGUACCCGGAGAAGAAGCCCCGGCUAACUUCGUG